AGAGUUUGAUCCUGGCUCAGGAUGAACGCUAGCUACAGGCUUAACACAUGCAAGUCGAGGGGCAGCACAGCGUGGCAACACGUGGGUGGCGACCGGCGCACGGGUGCGUAACGCGUAUCCAAUCUACCCAUAACUCCGGGACAGCCCUCUGAAAGGAGGAUUAAUACCGGAUGGCGCAGGGGGUCCGCAUGGACAUAUUGCUAAAGAUUUAUCGGUUAUGGAUGAGGAUGCGUACCAUUAGGUAGUCGGCGGGGUAACGGCCCACCGAGCCGACGAUGGUUAGGGGUUCUGAGAGAAAGGUCCCCCACACUGGAACUGAGACACGGUCCAGACUCCUACGGGAGGCAGCAGUGAGGAAUAUUGGUCAAUGGACGGAAGUCUGAACCAGCCAUGCCGCGUGGAGGAAGAAGGUCCUAUGGGUUGUAAACUCCUUUUGUUCGAGAGUAAUAAGAGGCUUGCGAGCCUCGAUGAGAGUAUCGGACGAAUAAGCAUCGGCUAACUCCGUGCCAGCAGCCGCGGUAAUACGGAGGAUGCAAGCGUUAUCCGGAUUUAUUGGGUUUAAAGGGAGCGUAGGCGGGCUGUUAAGCCAGCAGUCAAAUGUCAUGGCCCAACCUUGGCAUGCCGUUGGAACUGGCGGUCUUGAAUACACACAAGGGCGGUGGAAUUCGUUGUGUAGCGGUGAAAUGCUUAGAUAUGACGAAGAACUCCGAUUACGAAGGCAGCCGCCUGGGGUGCGAUUGACGCUGAGGCUCGAAAGUGCGGGUAUCGAACAGGAUUAGAUACCCUGGUAGUCCGCACAGUAAACGAUGGAUGCUCGUUAUGGGCGAUACACAGUCCGUGACCUAGGGAAACCAUUAAGCAUCCCACCUGGGGAGUACGCCGGCAACGGUGAAACUCAAAGGAAUUGACGGGGGCCCGCACAAGCGGAGGAACAUGUGGUUUAAUUCGAUGAUACGCGAGGAACCUUACCCGGGCUUGAAAUGUGCACGGCGGGGGAAAGAGACUUCCCCCUCCUUCGGGCGUGCAUGUAGGUGCUGCAUGGUUGUCGUCAGCUCGUGCCGUGAGGUGUCGGCUCAAGUGCCAUAACGAGCGCAACCCCUUCGGCCGGUUACCAUCGGGUGAUGCCGGGGACUCCGGCCGCACUGCCGCCGCAAGGCGCGAGGAAGGCGGGGAUGACGUCAAAUCAGCACGGCCCUUACGUCCGGGGCCACACACGUGUUACAAUGGGGGGCACAGCGAGCGGGGCCAUGGCGACAUGUCCCGAAUCAUGAAAUCCCCUCCCAGUUCGGACUGGAGUCUGCAACCCGACUCCACGAAGCCGGAUUCGCUAGUAAUCGCGCAUCAGCCAUGGCGCGGUGAAUACGUUCCCGGGCCUUGCACUCACCGCCCGUCA
This 1393-nucleotide ribosomal RNA is filed under the name uncultured bacterium. RNAcentral's name for it is "16S ribosomal RNA". It matches the Rfam family "Bacterial small subunit ribosomal RNA". The record is from RNAcentral.